This 441-nucleotide ribosomal RNA is filed under the name uncultured bacterium. Its description in RNAcentral is "partial 16S ribosomal RNA". It matches the Rfam family "Bacterial small subunit ribosomal RNA", at positions 338 to 795 of the family's 1533-position model. The record is from RNAcentral.
CCUACGGGAGGCAGCAGUGGGGAAUAUUGGGCAAUGGGCGCAAGCCUGACCCAGCGACGCCGCGUGGGUGAAGGAGUAUUUCGGUAUGUAAAGCCCUAUCAGCAGGGAAGAACAAUGACGGUACCUGACUAAGAAGCACCGGCUAAAUACGUGCCAGCAGCCGCGGUAAUACGUAUGGUGCAAGCGUUAUCCGGAUUUACUGGGUGUAAAGGGAGCGCAGGCGGCGCGUUAAGCCUGGUGUGAAAGCCCGCGGCCCAACCGCGGGACUGCAUUGGGAACUGGCGCGCUGGAGUGCCGGAGGGGUAGGCGGAAUUCCUAGUGGAGCGGUGAAAUGCGUAGAUAUUAGGAGGAACACCAGUGGCGAAGGCGGCCUACUGGACGGUGACUGACGCUGAGGCUCGAAAGCGUGGGGAGCAAACAGGAUUAGAUACCCGUGUGGUC